UACGGAGGAUGCGAGCGUUAUCCGGAUUUAUUGGGUUUAAAGGGAGCGUAGGUGGAUUGAUAAGUCAGCCUGUGAAAGUUUGCGGCUCAACCGUAAAAUUGCAGUUGAUACUGUCAGUCUUGAGUACAGUAGAGGUUAGCGGAAUUCGUGGUGUAGCGGUGAAAUGCUUAGAUAUCACGAAGAACUCCAAUUGCGAAGGCAGCUGACUAGACUGUAACUGACACUGAGGCUCGAAAGUGUGGGUAUCAAACAGG
RNAcentral lists this ribosomal RNA (254 nucleotides) under uncultured bacterium. Its description in RNAcentral is "partial 16S ribosomal RNA". It matches the Rfam family "Bacterial small subunit ribosomal RNA", at positions 524 to 776 of the family's 1533-position model. The record is from RNAcentral.